Molecule: ribosomal RNA, 834 nt
Filed under: Microdochium seminicola
Lineage: Eukaryota; Fungi; Ascomycota; Sordariomycetes; Xylariales; Microdochiaceae
Description: partial 28S ribosomal RNA
Source: RNAcentral
CGAUUAGUCUUUCGCCCCAUGCGCAGAUUUGACGAUCGAUUUGCACGUCAGAACCGCUGCGAGCCUCCACCAGAGUUUCCUCUGGCUUCACCCUAUCCACGCAUAGUUCACCAUCUUUCGGGUCCGAACAGUUAUGCUCUUACUCAAAUCCAUCCGAAGACAUCAGGAUCGGUCGAUGAUGCACCCGUAAGGGCUCUCACCUCCGUUCACUUUCAUUACGCUUGAGGGUUUAACACCCAAAAACUCGCAUAAAUGUUCGACUCCUUGGUCCGUGUUUCAAGACGGGUGGCUGAUGACCAUUAUGCCAGCAUCCUAGCCGAAGCGCGGUCCUCAGUCCCAGCGGCGGUAUUACACAGCAGGCUAUAACACUCCCGGGGGAGUCACGUUCCUGAAGUCUUUAUCCCGCCGCCGAAACUGAUGCUGGCCUCAACCAAGCGGAGUGCACCGGUGAGAACACCGGAUGAUCCGCAAGGCAAAGGUCUGGUCACAAGCCCUUCCCUUUCAACAAUUUCACGUACUAUUUAACCCUCUUUUCAAAGUGCUUUUCAUCUUUCGAUCACUCUACUUGUGCGCUAUCGGUCUCUGGCCGGUAUUUAGCUUUAGAAGAAAUUUACCUCCCAUUUAGAGCAGCAUUCCCAAACUACUCGACUCGUCGAAGGAGAUUUACAGAGGCUCGGCAUCCAACCGUACGGGGCUCUCACCCUCUAAGGCGUCCUGUUCCAAGGAACUCGGAAGGUACCUAACCAAAAUCAUCCUCUACAAAUUACAACUCGGACCCGAGGGCCAGAUUUCAAAUUUGAGCUGUUGCCGCUUCACUCGCCGUUACUAGGGCAU